GCCCCGCCAGCCCGAGGCGCGGGAGGGGCCCGGAAAGCUCCCUCCCGCCCGCUCGCCGCUGCCGGCGGCCCCGGGGGCGCCCCUUCCGCGGCCGAGGCCCCCGCUCGCGUGGGGAAGCUUCUACCUGCGAGCCUGCGGCCCCUGCCCCCGGCACCCGAGACAUCCCCGACCCGGCGCGCCGGAUUCUCUGCCAGGUUUUACAGCCUCCCUCGCCUUGGGACCGCCGCGGAGGACCCGUUCCCGCCACUUCGGACCUCGCGAGCGGGGCUGAGCUGCUUGGGUCGGGGACACCACCAGCCUCUGGAGAAACGGCCCGAAGCACCCCGAAGAAGAGGGGGUCCCAGUCCCCUGCCCCUCCCUUGUGCGCACCCCCACCCCCAGCUUGCCUGGAACCUGACUCCACACCUUUGUCGACCGGGACAGGGACUGGGGGUUGCACCCCAGAUCAGAAAGUCAGAGGUGGCCCUCCGAAUCGGCGCGGACUUCCGAGGAACCUCAGCCAAUUCUCGACCCCCUUACCACCUGCAAGGCCUUAGGAAUCGGCUCCAGAAAGCUCGAGCUUAUCUGCGUGUUUCGUUUUAAAAAUCACUUCUAAGAUAAAACCUAACUAGGCUUUCCCCUUCAGACUUUCAGUAACUCCUGUUUGGCAAAUUUUGACAUUCACUCUAUCCUUCGUCUUUGUAAGGACAUAUCAAGACUUAGAAGGCUUUGAUUACACAUACGGAUGGCAUGAGUCGUGAUAUAAAAUAGUAUUGUUUUCACGUGUACUUCGAAGUCAUCUCAUUUGAAAUUAACUGUCAUAAUUGACUAUUUGGAAUAUUCAACCUAAAUACUACCCGCUGCUGUGGUGACGGGGGGUGGAGGAAGCGUGGUGGAACCCCAACACCUAGUGAGGGGUGGCUGAUUAAUACCACGGCUCACAACAUAACAGAGCGGCUCAUUCCAUGAACAACCCCGGGGGGAUUUCGAAUUCUAUCAUCUGGGCAAAAGAUGUGAUGAGUGUAACUUCCUGUUUUCUCCAAACUAAAACACUACGCAGAUUCCUGUACCGCUCUGGGACAGAAAUCCUCAGCCAGAGCAGAGGCCGUCCCCAGAGUCCACACUGUUUCCUGCAU
This 1115-nucleotide long non-coding RNA is filed under the name Homo sapiens (human). Its description in RNAcentral is "non-protein coding lnc-EZH2-7:3". The record is from RNAcentral. Lineage: Eukaryota; Metazoa; Chordata; Mammalia; Primates; Hominidae.